UUCGCAAUGCCCGAAAGGGUGACGAAGCGACGCCGCGUGGGUGGGGAAGGCCUUCGGGUUGUAAAGCCCUGUCAGGAGUUAAGAAAUGUAAGUGCGCUAAUAUCGCAUUUAUUUGACGAAGGCUCCAAAGGAAGCCACGGCUAACUCUGUGCCAGCAGCCGCGGUAAUACAGAGGUGGCAAGCGUUGUUCGGAAUUAUUGGGCGUAAAGAGCACGUAGGUGGGUUUGUAAGUCAGAUGUGAAAGCCUUCUGUUCAACGGAAGAAUUGCAUCUGAAACUGCGAGUCUUGAGUGUAGGAGGGGAGAAUGGAACUUCUGGUGGAGCGGUGAAAUGCGUAGAUAUCAGAAGGAACGCCGGCGGCGAAAGCGAUUCUCUGGCCUAUUACUGACACUCAGUGUGCGAAAGCUAGGGGAGCAAACGGGAUUAGAUACCCCGGUAGUCCUAGCCGUAAACGAUGGGCACUAAGUAGAGGGGUUUU
This 477-nucleotide ribosomal RNA is filed under the name Candidatus Scalindua brodae. Its description in RNAcentral is "bacterial SSU rRNA". It matches the Rfam family "Bacterial small subunit ribosomal RNA", at positions 365 to 832 of the family's 1533-position model. The record is from RNAcentral. Lineage: Bacteria; Pseudomonadati; Planctomycetota; Candidatus Brocadiia; Candidatus Brocadiales; Candidatus Scalinduaceae.